CAUUAAGCCGCUUCAGUGGCCAGAAAAGCUAGGGGCCAGAUCUCAGGGGAGAGAGGGUAGUCAUGCCAGGGCUGCAGGGGCAGACCUCAGCUGGGAGGUCACCAGCUCUGGGGGCCCAGGUUGGGAAAGGUUAGAUAGGAAGUUUGCAUAUGGGGCCCCUCUAUAUUCUAUAUAUGAAAUACCUUAUGUUGUGACACUAACCCCCUGCUCAUAGGCAAAGAGGAGCCUCCCAGGCACCAAACUGCGUAGAAUAUAUAUAGUCAGGAGCUGUGGAUGUUGGUAUUUGACCCUGGAAUGUGAAGACUGCCCAUAGAUAGUACUUGGAGCCCCUGUGGCUGGGACUGUGUGGAUAAGAUGGGAAGGAGCAGCCAUAUCAGUCUCUUGGACCUAUGUUGAAGUUUGCAGAGAUGGAUGAGUAGAGGCUGGAGCUGGGCUGAAGCUCCUCCCACCUCCGACCCCAGCCUCCUGGAACUCCCAGUCAGAGAUAAGUCCCCUUGACUCACAGCUUUCUCUUCACCCAAUCCCUUCAGAUCAGAAGAAAAGUCAGAACCACUUCUGGGAACACAGUGGGAAACUGAGGCAGGUGAGUGAGGUCAAAGCACUUCAGGGAUUACGGGGACAGAGACCUCAGAAAGAAUCUACUUUGGACUUUGGACGGAAGUAUUCCCUCCGCAAGAUUCAACUGAGCCCCUCUAGGAGCAGCAGCUCUCCUACCUAGGGGCUCCCUAGCUUUCCAGCUGUCCCCUUGCUCCGGGCCUGCCCUGGCCCCCGCCGCUCUCCGACCAGCCCCUCCUCCCGCGGGCUGCAGGGGAUUGGCGGGCCGGGGGCGGGCCGGGG
Otolemur garnettii (small-eared galago) is the source of this 837-nucleotide long non-coding RNA. RefSeq lists it as uncharacterized. NCBI's taxonomy places the organism in Eukaryota, Metazoa, Chordata, Mammalia, Primates, Galagidae. The record is from RefSeq and is a predicted model, not a curated record. The transcript has 5 exons.